This 253-nucleotide ribosomal RNA is filed under the name uncultured bacterium. Its description in RNAcentral is "partial 16S ribosomal RNA". It matches the Rfam family "Bacterial small subunit ribosomal RNA", at positions 524 to 776 of the family's 1533-position model. The record is from RNAcentral.
UACGUAGGGGGCUAGCGUUGUCCGGAAUCAUUGGGCGUAAAGAGCGCGUAGGCGGCCAGAUAAGUCCGGUGUGAAAGUCACAGGCUCAACCUGUGAAUGCCGCUGGAAACUGUCUGGCUAGAGUCCGGGAGGGGCGAGUGGAAUUCCCGGUGUAGCGGUGAAAUGCGCAGAUAUUGGGAAGAACACCCGUGGCGAAGGCGGUUCUCUGGGACGGUACUGACGCUGAGACGCGAAAGCGUGGGGAGCGAACAGG